AUCUAUGGCCAUUCCACGCUGAACGCGCCUGAUCUCGUCUGAUCUCGGAAGCUAAGCAGGGCUGGGCCUGGUUAGUAAUUGGAUGGGAAAAUAAUUUAAGGCCAAGUAAUAUUAUACU
Ribosomal RNA from Mustela putorius furo (domestic ferret), 118 nucleotides. NCBI's taxonomy places the organism in Eukaryota, Metazoa, Chordata, Mammalia, Carnivora, Mustelidae. The record is from Ensembl.